GAGUUUGAUCGUGGCUCAGAUUGAACGCUGGCGGCAUGGCUAAAACAUGCAAGUCGAACGAGAACCUCGCAAGAGGGGACAGUGGCGGAAGGGUCAGUAAUGGGAUCGAAUGUACCCCGAGGUGGAGGAUAGCGUCGGGAAACUGACGGUAAUACUCCAUGUCCUCUACGGAGAAAAGAUUUAUCGCCUUGGGAGCAGCGAUCCUCCUAUCAGGUAGUUGGCGGGGUAAAAGCCCACCAAGCCGAAGACGGGUAGCGGGUGUGAGAGCACGGCCCGCGACAUCGAGACUGAGACACUGCUCGGACUCCUACGGGAGGCUGCAGUAACGAAUAUUCCGCAAUGCGCGAAAGCGUGACGGAGCAAUGCCGCGUGCAGGAUGAAGCGGUUUUGCCGUGUAAACUGCUGUCAGGGAUAAGAAAUACUGAUCUAUCCCAGAGGAAGGGGCGACUAACUCUGUGCCAGCAGCCGCAGU
This 472-nucleotide ribosomal RNA is filed under the name uncultured Phycisphaerae bacterium. RNAcentral describes it as "bacterial SSU rRNA". It matches the Rfam family "Bacterial small subunit ribosomal RNA", at positions 9 to 521 of the family's 1533-position model. Lineage: Bacteria; Pseudomonadati; Planctomycetota; Phycisphaerae. The record is from RNAcentral.